RNAcentral lists this ribosomal RNA (659 nucleotides) under Alteromonas macleodii. RNAcentral describes it as "bacterial SSU rRNA". It matches the Rfam family "Bacterial small subunit ribosomal RNA", at positions 88 to 749 of the family's 1533-position model. The record is from RNAcentral. Lineage: Bacteria; Pseudomonadati; Pseudomonadota; Gammaproteobacteria; Alteromonadales; Alteromonadaceae.
AUGACGAGUGGCGGACGGGUGAGUAAUGCUUGGGAACUUGCCUUUGCGAGGGGGAUAACAGUUGGAAACGACUGCUAAUACCGCAUAAUGUCUUCGGACCAAACGGGGCUUAGGCUCCGGCGCAAAGAGAGGCCCAAGUGAGAUUAGCUAGUUGGUAAGGUAACGGCUUACCAAGGCGACGAUCUCUAGCUGUUCUGAGAGGAAGAUCAGCCACACUGGGACUGAGACACGGCCCAGACUCCUACGGGAGGCAGCAGUGGGGAAUAUUGCACAAUGGGGGAAACCCUGAUGCAGCCAUGCCGCGUGUGUGAAGAAGGCCUUCGGGUUGUAAAGCACUUUCAGUUGUGAGGAAAAGUUAGUAGUUAAUACCUGCUAGCCGUGACGUUAACAACAGAAGAAGCACCGGCUAACUCCGUGCCAGCAGCCGCGGUAAUACGGAGGGUGCGAGCGUUAAUCGGAAUUACUGGGCGUAAAGCGCACGCAGGCGGUUUGUUAAGCUAGAUGUGAAAGCCCCGGGCUCAACCUGGGAUGGUCAUUUAGAACUGGCAGACUAGAGUCUUGGAGAGGGGAGUGGAAUUCCAGGUGUAGCGGUGAAAUGCGUAGAUAUCUGGAGGAACAUCAGUGGCGAAGGCGACUCCCUGGCCAAAGACUGACGCUCA